Molecule: long non-coding RNA, 1523 nt
Filed under: Nicotiana benthamiana
Lineage: Eukaryota; Viridiplantae; Streptophyta; Magnoliopsida; Solanales; Solanaceae
Description: long non-coding RNA (NBEN_LNC040090)
Source: RNAcentral
GUUAGCCCCCCAACAGAGAGUCCUUUGUGUAUUAUUCUGCGAGAAUAGUAAAAGGUUGGAUUUUUACCCGUAAUAUUGUGUGUUGCCUUUGUUUCGUAAAAUUGCAAUAAUCCUAAGUAUUGCACUUUGAGAGGAAAAUGUGCUGAAGUAACUUGAUUGUCAGGUUGCUGCAUUAUAGUGUCAAUUUCGAAAAAUUUGACCCUGUAACAACUGGUAUCAGAGCAAGGUCAGAUUCGUGGCGGAGACACAACGUAUAGUGACAUAUAUCGUAGUCUUGUUUGAGAACAUGGCUAUCACGGCUCUAGUUCACCAAUCGUGGAUCUGUCAUGAUGGCACCCAGUCUUCACGAUUAGGUAAGACUGACACACUGCGAAAAUUCAGCAAUCCUUGCGGAAACGAUAAAUAAACAUAAAUAGCAUAAGAUAAUGUAUAGAAUAUCGCCUGGCACAUACGUGUCGACUCCAAAUAACGUAAAAACCUCCAAGACUCGGAAACCUAUGGGAAACACAGGCUAAGAGCAAAGUAUAACAUACGGCUCUAACAUCCAUGAGUAUCUACAACAAGUGAGUACAUAAAUGAAACCAUUAGCUAAAGGGAGAAUAGAUGGAGACUCUUCGGCUCUGCGGACGCGGCAGAUGCAUACCUCAAAUCUCCGAGUAUAUCUCCUAAUUAUUGAUAGCGCGUCCGAUCAAAAGUACCUGGAUCAGCACAACAAAAGUGUACAGAAGAGUAGCAUGAGUACACCACAACGGUACUCAGUAAGUGCGAAGCCUAACCUCGAUGGAGUAGUGACGAGGAAGGCCAAGGCCCUACUGAGAAGAACAUAAGAAAUAAUGUAAAAAUAAAUAAACAGUAGAUAAUGAAANNNNNNNNNNNNNNNNNNNNNNNNNNNNNNNNNNNNNNNNNNNNNNNNNNNNNNNNNNNNNNNNNNNNNNNNNNNNAAUAUACAGUAGAUAAUGAAAUAAAUCCCGAAUAUCUAACAAGAUAGUAAUUAAAACAGAACGGCUAAGGGUACAGACUACGAACACAAAGCAAAUCACUCAAAAAUUAGGAUCUUUACAUGGAGCUACGGGAAAGUCCUUUAUACCAAUAACAGAGGAUCUCCGGGAAUUGAACCCGCAGUCCUUUAUACCAAUAACAGAGAAUCUCUGGGAAUUGAACCUGCAGACCUUUAUUCCAAUAAGAGAGGAUCUCCUGGAAUUGAACCCGCAGUUCUUUAUAACAAUAACAGAGGAUCUCCGGGAAUUGAACCGCAAUCCUUUAUACCAAUAACAGAGGAUCUCCGAAAUUGAACCCGCAGUCCUUCAUACCAAUAACAAAGGAUCUCCGGGAAUUGAACCCGCAGUCCCAAAAGUAAAAUACACCACAACAAUUCAAUAUUUAACGGAAAGGAAGCCAAAUGCGAACAACAAGUAAAGUCGAUAAUCUAACAUGCUUCGCAAGAAAAACAUAUAUGGAAAUUUAGUCAAAUAGAGCAAAUAAGUCCCUAGCAUGCUUCCCAAUAAGGUUGUACUGUGUGGCGG